Molecule: ribosomal RNA, 253 nt
Filed under: uncultured bacterium
Lineage: Bacteria
Description: partial 16S ribosomal RNA
Rfam family: Bacterial small subunit ribosomal RNA
Source: RNAcentral
UACAGAGGUCCCAAGCGUUGUUCGGAUUCACUGGGCGUAAAGGGUGCGUAGGCGGUCGGGUAAGUCUGUCGUGAAAUCUCCGAGCCUAACUCGGAAACUGCGUCGGAUACUAUUCGGCUAGAGGAAUGGAGGGGAGACUGGAAUUCUCGGUGUAGCAGUGAAAUGCGUAGAUAUCGAGAGGCACACCAGUGGCGAAGGCGAGUCUCUGGACAUUUCCUGACGCUGAGGCACGAAAGCCAGGGGAGCAAACGGG